This 2139-nucleotide long non-coding RNA is filed under the name Rattus norvegicus (Norway rat). Its description in RNAcentral is "long non-coding RNA NONRATT016794". Lineage: Eukaryota; Metazoa; Chordata; Mammalia; Rodentia; Muridae. The record is from RNAcentral.
GGGCAAUGAGAAGACCAUGAACCUCAACCCCAUGAUCCUCACCAACAUCCUGUCGUCGCCUUACUUCAAAGUGCAGCUCUACGAGCUCAAGACCUACCACGAGGUGGUGGACGAGAUCUACUUUAAGGUCACGCAUGUUGAGCCAUGGGAGAAGGGGAGCAGGAAAACUGCUGGCCAGACGGGGAUGUGCGGAGGGGUUCGAGGCGUUGGAACAGGAGGCAUUGUUUCUACGGCAUUUUGCCUCCUGUACAAAUUAUUUACCCUGAAGUUAACUCGAAAGCAAGUGAUGGGUCUCAUAACACAUACAGACUCUCCAUAUAUCAGAGCCCUUGGAUUUAUGUAUAUAAGGUAUACACAACCCCCUACAGACCUGUGGGACUGGUUCGAGUCCUUCCUUGAUGAUGAGGAGGUUUGGGACUGACAAUAGCUGACUAACAUGUCCUGAGCUGUGAGAGGGCAUAGCAAGAAGGCCUUCAUGCGGACCUAGAUGUGAAAGCUGGUGGAGGCUGUGUAAUGACCAUUGGAGAGAUGCUUCGUUCUUUUCUCACAAAGCUCGAGUGGUUUUCUACUUUGUUUCCAAGAAUUCCAGUUCCAGUUCAGAAGAAUAUUGAUCAGCAGAUUAAAACUCGACCUAGGAAAAUCAAGAAAGACGGAAAGGAAGGUGUUGAGGAAAUAGACAGACAUAUUGAGAGACGGCGGUCCAGAUCUCCAAGAAGAUCACUGAGCCCACGGAGGUCUCCAAGAAGAUCAAGAAGCAGAAGUCAUCACCGGGACGGUCAUGGAUCUUCUAGUUUCGACAGAGAAUUAGAGAGAGAGAAAGAACGCCAACGACUAGAGCGGGAAGCCAAAGAGAGAGAGAAAGAAAGGCGAAGAUCUCGAAGCCUUGAUCGGGGCUUAGACCGCAGGCGGAGCCGCAGUCGGGAGAGGCACAGAAGUCGCAGUCGCAAUCAUGAUAGCAAGGACCAGUCAGACAGACAGGAUCAUCAGAGAAGCCAGAGUGUAGAGCCAGAAAGCCAAGAAAAAGAACAUAAAAACAAAGAUGAGACUGUGUGAAGAUUUUGUAAAAUUGGAUCACAUUGAAUCCUAUAAAUGUUGAUUAAAUUCUGCUUUUCCCCCCCCCCAGUUGAGGUUGUGCAGUAGUUAUGCACUCUGAGCUCCCUGUAGGCUGUUUUCUUUUGUGUAGGAAGUGCCUUUGUAAUCCCAUUGAGCAUUGAUGUUUCCACCCAGUUGAGUUGACACAUAAUGCACAGAUUGUUCUUGCAUUUUUGUUUGUUUUUAAAAUGUACAGUGUGUACAUACGUCCUGAAAAUGUUUUAAUUCCUUCGGCAUGGUUGCCAUGUUGGUUAAAUUUGUAUAAGGCAAUAAACUGCCACUAAUUCUAUUUUUGUUUUGUAGGUGUGAGAUUAUGGUUGUGUACUGAAGUUAGCAUGGCUGUGCUUUUCAUAAUAGAAUGCUAAAAACUUUGGGAAUGGAUCUUGGAUGUUUGCUUUAGGAGAAUUAUGUUUUUCAGUAUACAUGAAGGCAACAGUUGUAGGGUUAACAUUCUUGUCCACUGUAUAUUACCUUGGAAGCUCUUGUUAAUAUGUUAUUAUUCUCCACAGUUAAUGUUAGAAAGAAUUUAUAAGAGGUUUAAAUUAGGCUGUGAUUUGAUCAAAAGUCCUUUUAGCAUUCUACCUCAAAGGGACACUGUUAGUAUGCCUAAAAUUUAUUUACUUUUUACAAUGUGCUUCUCCCCCGCCCCUUGAAUUCUUUCUCAGAUUUUAAAAAUACUAUAUUAAAAUGUGUAAAGCCUGGCAUUGUAGCAGCCCUAUACUAACCAGUGCUGGGAGAGGGUGGGGCACAUGAGUAGAGAAGCAUUCAAGCCUCAAGCUUCCAAAGCAUUUUUAUAAAUGGAGAAUACUUAAAUUAUGAAACAGCUUGAUAUAGUAUCCUUUUUUAAGAAUUCAAAACUUUUUUUAUUGAUAAUGAAGAUUGCUGUUUGAGUUUUUAAACUUAAUCUAGGACAGAAAUAUUAAUAGUAAUGCAGUGCUGCGUUAUUUAAGACUAUCAGCAAAUUAUUUGAUAGAUUGUUCUUAUGACUUGUAUUCUGAUUUCAGAAAACCAUCAUGAGUGUGGAAUAAAUACUGGAUUAAAUCCUUU